RNAcentral lists this ribosomal RNA (484 nucleotides) under uncultured bacterium. Its description in RNAcentral is "partial 16S ribosomal RNA". It matches the Rfam family "Bacterial small subunit ribosomal RNA", at positions 30 to 507 of the family's 1533-position model. The record is from RNAcentral.
AUUGAACGCUGGCGGCAGGCCUAACACAUGCAAGUCGAGCGGAUGAAGGGAGCUUGCUCCUGGAUUCAGCGGCGGACGGGUGAGUAAUGCCUAGGAAUCUGCCUGGUAGUGGGGGAUGACGUCCGGAAACGGGCGCUAAUACCGCAUACGUCCUGAGGGAGAAAGUGGGGGAUCUUCGGACCUCACGCUAUCAGAUGAGCCUAGGUCGGAUUAGCUAGUUGGUGGGGUAAAGGCCUACCAAGGCGACGAUCCGUAACUGGUCUGAGAGGAUGAUCAGUCACACUGGAACUGAGACACGGUCCAGACUCCUACGGGAGGCAGCAGUGGGGAAUAUUGGACAAUGGGCGAAAGCCUGAUCCAGCCAUGCCGCGUGUGUGAAGAAGGUCUUCGGAUUGUAAAGCACUUUUAGUUGGGAGGAAGGGCAGUAAGUUAAUCCCUUGCUGUUUUGACGUUACCAACACAAUAAGCCCCGGCUAACUUCGUG